CCUACGGGGGGCAGCAGUGGGGAAUAUUGGACAAUGGGGGCAACCCUGAUCCAGCAAUGCCGCGUGUGUGAAGACGGCCUGCGGGUUGUAAAGCACUUUCAGUAGGGAAGAAAAGCUCGGGGCUAAUACCUCCGGGUCUUGACGUUACCUAAAGAAGAAGCACCGGCUAACUCCGUGCCAGCAGCCGCGGUAAUACGGAGGAUGCGAGCGUUAAACGGAAUUAGUGGGCGUAAAGCGCACUCAGGUGGGUAAGCCCUGGGCUUAACCUGGGAACUGCAUUCGGUACUGCCCGGCUAGAGGAUGGGAGAGGGAAGCGGAAUUUCCGGUGUAGCGGUGAAAUGCGUAGAUAUCGGAAGGAACACCAAUGGCGAAGGCAGCUUCCUGGCCCAAUACUGACGCUGAGGUGCGAAAGCGUGGGGAUCAAACAGGAUUAGAUACCCUAGUAGUC
Molecule: ribosomal RNA, 448 nt
Filed under: uncultured bacterium
Lineage: Bacteria
Description: partial 16S ribosomal RNA
Rfam family: Bacterial small subunit ribosomal RNA
Source: RNAcentral